UAGGAAGCCCUCCUAGAAUUUGUACGGGGCAGGUCCUUCUGGCUGGUCCCAAACGUUCUCUUUGUACAUAGCCACAAUAAAUGUUUUUUACUCACUCACCCCCAACGAUUGGUGUACCUUGCGGCAUGAAAUCCUUGGUGUGCCUUAUGGCAGGAAAUUUUCGAAGCACAACUUCUAAUUUUGUCGAUUUUAUUUUCAGGUCCUUUGUAAAUAAGAGCUACACUAUUACUUGUUUCCUGGCAGGAGCAAGAGCAGCAUAUAUUUGAUGUUUUGAAGAAAUGGCCACUUUUUGGUGACGUGUACCGAAAACUUGAACCGUGGAGGUUGCUUAUGUGCUCGAAAAACAAGAAAAAGCACUUCAAGCCGUACGGGUUCACUUUUUGGUGGAAGCAUUAAAGUACCUAGAGCAGCUACUUGUGGCCUGAAGCAUCCAAACAACAGGGCGAUAUGAAUUUCAAUGUGGCAAAGUAUGCUGUCAAAUCCUUAGUUUUUAUUGGUUACCUUAGCCUGCAGCAAAAUGAUAAUAAAAAGCCAUAAAUUCCUA
Molecule: long non-coding RNA, 544 nt
Organism: Dermacentor silvarum
Lineage: Eukaryota; Metazoa; Arthropoda; Arachnida; Ixodida; Ixodidae
Exons: 2
Source: RefSeq, a predicted model, not a curated record